UUUCAAGUUACAAAGAGCCAACGGUGGAUGCCUUGGCGCCAGGUGCCGAUGAAGGACGUGGGUGGCUGCGAAAAGCCACGGGGAGCUGUCUACCAAGCUUUGAUCCGUGGAUCUCCGAAUGGGGAAACCCGGCUGGGGUAAUGCCCAGUCACUCCUGCCUGAACACAUAGGGCAGCGAGAGGGAACCGGGGGAAUUGAAACAUCUCAGUACCCCGAGGAAGAGAAAACAACCGUGACUCCCUGAGUAGCGGCGAGCGAAACGGGAAGAGCCUAAACCGUUGCAGUGGUACAGCCUGCCGGCGAUGCUGCAGCGGGGUCGUGGGACCCGCUUGGAAGUUCGGCAGAACUUCCGAAGAGUUACCAAGUUGAUUGCUAGUGGAAGCGGUCUGGAAAGCCGCGCCAUAGACGGUAAUAGCCCCGUACGCGAAAGCAAUCAGCCUCUUGGCGGUGUUCCCGAGUAACGCCGGAUCCGGGAAAGCCGGCGUGAAUCUGCGAGGACCACCUCGUAAGGCUAAGUACAAACUGGCGACCGAUAGCGCACGAGUACCGUGAGGGAAGGGUGAAAAGAACCCCGGGAGGGGAGUGAAAUAGAACCUGAAACCGUUGGCUUACAAGCAGUCAGAGCGUCGUCAUAGGCUUCGGCCUAUGGCCGUGAUGGCGUGCCUUUUGAAGAAUGAGCCGGCGAGUUACGGUAUGUGGCGAGGUUAACCCGAGAGGGGGAGCCGGAGCGAAAGCGAGUCUGAAUAGGGCGUAUAGUCGCAUGCUGUAGACCCGAAGCCGAGUGAUCUAUCCAUGGGCAGGCUGAAGCGAAGGUAAGACUUCGUGGAGGGCCGAACCCACCAAGGUUGAAAACUUGGGGGAUGACCUGUGGAUAGGGGUGAAAGGCCAAGCAAACUCGGUGAUAGCUGGUUCUCCCCGAAAUGCAUUUAGGUGCAGCGUCGCGUGUUCAGUACCGGAGGUAGAGCACUGGAUGGCCUAGGGGGCCUACAAGCUUACUGAAGUCAGCCAAACUCCGAAUGCCGGUACUCCAAAACGCGGCAGUGAGACCAUGGGGGAUAAGCUUCAUGGUCGAGAGGGAAACAGCCCAGAACGCCAGCUAAGGCCCCAAAUUCUGUGCUCAGUGGCAAAGGAUGUGAGAUUGCCGGGACAGCCAGGAGGUUGGCUUAGAAGCAGCCACCCUUAAAAGAGUGCGUAAUAGCUCACUGGUCGAGUGAUCUCGCGCCGACAAUGUAACGGGGCUCAAGCACAGAGCCGAAGCUGCGUCAUAUGCGCUUUUGCGUAGAUGGGUAGGGGAGCGUCGAUCUCUGCAGUGAAGCGGCCGCGUGAGCGGUCGUGGAGCGUGGUCGAGUGCGAAUGCCGGCAUGAGUAGCGAAAGAGGGGGGAGGAACCCCUCCGCCGAAUGCCCAAGGGUUCCUGGGGAAGGCUCAUCCGCCCAGGGUUAGUCGGGAGCUAAGGCGAGGCCGAAAGGCGUAGUCGAUGCACAACUGGUUGAUAUUCCAGUACCACCGUGUCCGCGCCCAACCCUACGGGGACUGCUAAGGGGCUGCCUUCGGGCGAACCGACCCGUUCUCUGAUGGGUAGCAAUGGGGUGACGCAGGAAGGUAGCUCAACCCGGGCGUUGGUUGUCCCGGGGUAAGCAUGUAGGGGGUCCGAUAGGUAAAUCCGUCGGGCACAACUCCGAGAUGCGAUGCCGAGCCGUUUUAGGCGAAGUGAGUGAUCCUACGCUGUCGAGAAAAACCUCUAGCGAGUUGGCACGGUGCCCGUACCCCAAACCGACGCAGGUGGGCAAGUAGAGAAUACUAAGGCGAUCGGGAGAACUCUGGUUAAGGAACUCGGCAAACUGCCCCCGUAACUUCGGAAGAAGGGGGGCCUCAGUAGGGUGAAGGACUUCGCGUCCGGAGCUCGAGGAGGCCGCAGAGACCAGGGCCAAGCGACUGUUUACUAAAAACACAGGUGCGUGCGAAGUCGUAAGACGAUGUAUACGCACUGACGCCUGCCCGGUGCCGGAAGGUUACGGGGAUGGGUUAGCUCCUUCGGGGGCGAAGCUCUGAACCUAAGCCCCGGUAAACGGCGGCCGUAACUAUAACGGUCCUAAGGUAGCGAAAUUCCUUGUCGGGUAGAACAAACUGCCCUGCACGGGGGUGACCCCGUGUGCACACCCGCUCAUAACGGCGAAACCCUCCCCGGCCGCAGGUGGCCGGCGGGCAAUGCCGUGGGAAGUCCUCUGCCGCGUUCGCGGUAUGACCCCGUAACGACUGAUCCCUUCGGGGUGAGGCUCCGGACACUGUCACACCGGUUCGUACGAUCCGGUGGUGGCAAAUCUACGGACGGAGCAAUACGCGGGCUCUCGGCAAGGGUUGACGGAUCUUCCGUCGUACAUCUCCGGAUACGUUGACGGAGAGGGAUGUUUCACGGUCUCGAUCUCACCCCGCCCAACGCUACGCGUCCGGUGGGAAGUCAGGCCGAGCUUGUCGGUCAGCCAAAAUGGCGACCGCGAUGAAGUCCUGCUGGACCUCCAGCGGCACUUCGGAUGCGGCACGUUGCGGCCCGAUCGGAGCGACAAGACGGUGAAGUGGGAGGUGCGAAGCCUGCCGCUUCUCGUCGACCGAAUAGUCCCGCACUUCCAUGCGUAUCCACUCCGCUCGGGGAAGAGCGACGACUUCGAGCUCUUCGCCUCAGUCUGUGAGGCGAUGACUCUUCGUCGUCAUCUCGAACCCGAGGGCCUCAGUGAGAUCGUGCGAUGGGCCGGUGCAAUGAACCCAAGCGGUAAGCGCGGUAUGCACCGGAGUCGAUUCUGAAGUCCCUGCACGAGAUGAAGGCAUAGUCUGUCCCCCUAGUAAUAGGGGAAAUCGACGAAGUUCCGACCUGCACGAAUGGCGUAACGACUUGGCUACUGUCUCAACCAGAGACCCGGCGAAAUUGCACGACGAGUAAAGAUGCUCGUUUCCCGCGGAAGGACGGAAAGACCCCGUGGACCUUUACUGCAACUUGGUAUUGGGUUUCGAUAUGCGUUGUGUAGGAUAGGUGGGAGACUUGGAAGCUGGGGCGCCAGCCUCGGUGGAGUCAACCUUGAAAUACCACCCUGCGUAUAUUGGGGCUCUAACCCGGGCCCGUGAUCCGGGUCGGGGACAGUGACAGGUGGGCAGUUUGACUGGGGCGGUCGCCUCCCAAAGAGUAACGGAGGCGCCCAAAGGUUCCCUCAGCCUGGUUGGCCAUCAGGCGUCGAGUGCAAAGACACAAGGGAGCUUGACUGCGAGACCAACAAGUCGAGCAGGUGCGAA
RNAcentral lists this ribosomal RNA (3281 nucleotides) under Actinomycetota bacterium. Its description in RNAcentral is "partial 23S ribosomal RNA". It matches the Rfam family "Bacterial large subunit ribosomal RNA", at positions 1 to 2403 of the family's 2925-position model. The record is from RNAcentral. Lineage: Bacteria; Bacillati; Actinomycetota.